CCUACGGGUGGCAGCAGUAGGGCAUAUUGCUCAAUGGGGGAAACCCUGAUGCAGCAACGCCGCGUGGAGGAUGAAGGUUUUCGGAAUGUAAACUCCUAUUGUCAGAGAAGAUAAUAACCGGUUCUUACGAAUAAACACCGGCUAACCUCGGUCCAGCAGCCGCGGUAAUACGGAGGGGGCAAGCGUUACUCGGAAUCACUGGGCGUAAAGAGCGCGUAGGCGGGACAGCAAGGCAGAUGUGAAAUCCUAUGGCUUAACCAUAGAACUGCAUUUGAAACUGCUAUUCUAGAGUACGGGAGAGGUAGGUGGAAUUCUUGGUGUAGGGGUAAAAUGCGUAGAGAUUAAGAGGAAUACUAGUUGCGAAGGCGGCCUGCUAGACAAUAACUGACGCUGAUGCGCGAAAGCGUGGGGAGCAAACAGGAUUAGAUACCCUAGUAGUC
This 440-nucleotide ribosomal RNA is filed under the name uncultured bacterium. RNAcentral's name for it is "partial 16S ribosomal RNA". It matches the Rfam family "Bacterial small subunit ribosomal RNA", at positions 338 to 795 of the family's 1533-position model. The record is from RNAcentral.